UUCGCCGCGGUGGGUGGAANGAAGCCCUUCGGGGUGUAAACACCUGUCAGUGGGGAAGAUAAUGACGGUACCCACAGAGGAAGGGACGGCUAACUACNUGCCANCAGCCGCGGUAAUACGUANGUCCCGAACGUUGCG
Molecule: ribosomal RNA, 138 nt
Filed under: uncultured Hydrogenothermus sp.
Lineage: Bacteria; Pseudomonadati; Aquificota; Aquificia; Aquificales; Hydrogenothermaceae
Description: partial 16S ribosomal RNA
Rfam family: Bacterial small subunit ribosomal RNA
Source: RNAcentral